UUGGAGGGCAGUCUGGUGCCCGCAGCCGCGGUAAUUCCAGCUCAAUAGCGUAUAUUAAAGUUGUUGCAGUUAAAAAGCUCGUAGUUGAAUUUCGGGGUUAGUAGGUUGGUCAUGCCUCUGGUAUGUACUGGUCUCACUGAUUCCUCCUUCCUGAUGAGCCGUAAUGCCAUUAAUUUGGUGUUGCGGGGAAUUUGGACUGUUACUUUGAAAAAAUUAGAGUGUUUAAAGCAAGCUAACGCUUGAAUACAUUAGCAUGGAAUAAUGAAAUAGGACGUUCGAUCCUAUUUUGUUGGUUUCUAGGAUUGACGUAAUGAUUAAUAGGGAUAGUUGGGGGCAUUAGUAUUCAAUUGUCAGAGGUGAAAUUCUUGGAUUUAUUGAAGACUAACUACUGCGAAAGCAUUUGCCACGGAUGUUUUCAUUAAUCAAGAACGAAAGUUAGGGGAUCGAAGACGAUCAGAUACCGUCGUAGUCUUAACCAUAAACUAUGCCGACUAGGGAUCGGAUGAUGUUAAUUUAUUUAAUGACUCAUUCGGCGCCUUACGGGAAAC
This 548-nucleotide ribosomal RNA is filed under the name uncultured Glomus. RNAcentral describes it as "SSU rRNA". It matches the Rfam family "Eukaryotic small subunit ribosomal RNA", at positions 548 to 1098 of the family's 1831-position model. Lineage: Eukaryota; Fungi; Glomeromycota; Glomeromycetes; Glomerales; Glomeraceae. The record is from RNAcentral.